Molecule: long non-coding RNA, 320 nt
Organism: Zonotrichia leucophrys gambelii
Lineage: Eukaryota; Metazoa; Chordata; Aves; Passeriformes; Passerellidae
Exons: 3
Source: RefSeq, a predicted model, not a curated record
AUUGCUCAUAUAAAUUCCUCAGUGUUGGUUAUUUCUCACUGCAGUUAGCAAGAGAAGUUCUUGAGCCAAGAUCUUUGCAGUGCGAGUGCACUGAGUAUUUCCCAUUAGGAACUUCUUGUCGGAGAGGAGCUUCACAAGUAAUGAUCUUCUGUAAACCUGCAAAAACAGCAAUUAGGCAGCUCCCUCUCACUGCAGCCCAAUCCCAAGCUGAAGGAGAAGCAUCUGGCACAAUGGAAAUUGUCACAACACAGGGCUGCAACUUCGACUGGUGAGAGAAGGCUCCCCUUGGAUGUGCAGAUCACAGAGAGGAGACUCUUUAA